GCUGGGGUGCCUGUGCGGUGAUCUGUCGGCGGGCUGGGGUGCCUGUGCGGUGAUCUGUUUGCGGGCUGGGGUGUGAGCUGUCGGCGGUCUGGGGUGUGAUCUGUCGGCGGUCUGGGGUGUGAUCUGUCGGCGGUCUGGGGUGUGAUCUGUCAGCGGGCUGGGGUGCCUGUGCAGUGAUCUGUCGGGGGGCUGAGGUGUGAUCUGUGGGCGGGCUGGGGUGACUCUGCAGUGAUCUGUCGGCAGGCUGGGGUGUGAUCUGUCGGGCUCGGGUGUGAUCUGUCGGCGGGCUGGGGUGCCUGUGCAGUGAUCUGUCGGUGGGCUGAGGUGUGAUCUGUGGGCAGUUUGGGGUGCCUGUGCAGUGAUCUGUUGGUGGGCCGGGGUGUGAUCUGUUGGCGGUCUGUGGUGUGACCUGUCAGCGGUCUGGGGUGUGAUCUGUCAGCGGGCUGGGGUGCCUGUGCAGUGAUCUGUUGGUGGGCUGGGUGUGAUCUGUUGACGGGCUGGGGUGCCUGUGCGGUGAUCUGUCGGGGGGCUGGGGUGUGAUCUGUGGGCGGGCUGGGGUGCCUGUGCGGUGAUCUGUGGGCGGGCUGGGGUGCCUGUGAAGUCAUCUGUCGGUGGGCCGGGGUGUGAUCUGUCGGCAGGCUGUGGAGUGAUCUGUCGGUGGGCUGGCUGCCUGUGUGGUGAUCCGUCGGCGGGCUGGGGUGCCUAUGUGGUGAUCUGUCAGCAGGCUGGGGUGUGAUCUGUCUAUGGGCCAGGGUGUGAUCUGUUGGUGGGCUGCAGUGUGAUCUGUCGGGCUGGGGUGUGAUCUGUCCGCGGGCCGGGGUGGGAUCUGUUGGUGGGCUGCGGUGGGACCUGUCAGCGGGCUGGGGUGUGAUCUGUCAGCGGGCUGGGGUGUGAUCUGUGGGUGGGCUGGGGUGCCUGUGCAGUGACAGUCUGCUGUGCACUGGGGGGUUGGAAGGUCGAGGCCACUGGUGACAGAGGGGAAGCUCCUGAGAGGUUUACUUAAAAGUAAAUGAGGGAUGUUGUUUGGCCUUUGCCCAUUUUGACCAACCAGCUUAUUGUUUUUUUCUUGCAACAACAAAAUACACACAUAGCUAUAGACACAUUUUAAUUAUAGAAAGGAUUGCAGGGAAAAUACCUUUAUUAUUGUGAGUCUAAAAUUCUUUAGCCUUUAACUCACUUUUUUCCCGUUGAAAUAAUUGUUUUUUUAAUGUGGUGUUUGAAACACCUAUGUUUUUAGAAGUUGAAAUACAGCAGAAUAGAUGCUCUUUUUAUACAUACGUGUGUGUGUAGGUAUGUAUCUAUACACACGUGUGUACACUGAUAUACAUACACAUAUAUGUAAUUUUAAAAAUAGGAUCGUAUUAAACAUAUGAUCUUACAUUUUGCAUUCUUUAUUUAAUAGCACAUUCUAAGUAUUUCCUGAGGCAUUACAUAUUCUUCGAAUAAUGCCUCAAGUAUUCUGUUAUAUGGAUGAAGCAUAUUAUUCAUCUACCUAUUCCAUUCUUUUUUUUUUUUUUUUUUUUUUUUUUUUAAAGACAGACAGAGUCUUGCCCGGUCCCCCAGGCUGGAGUGUAGUGUCGUGAUCUCAGCUCACUGCAGCCUCUGCCUCCUGGGUUUGAGUGAUCCUCCCAGCUCAGCCUCCUGAAUAGCUGGGCGUGCACCACCAUGCCCAGCUAAUUUUUGUAUAGUUGUAGACACUGGGCCUUGCCAUGUUGCCCAGGCUGGUCUUGAACUCCUGGGCUCAAGAGAUCUGCCGGCCUCAGCCUCUGAAAGUGCUGGGAUUACAUGUGUGAGCCACCGCGCCUGGCCCCUCUUUUUCACAUUUUAAGUUGCUUCCAAUUUUCUUCUACUAUAAAAAAUGUGAUAAACAUAUAGUAUAUGACUCUGUCCACAUCUCUCACAUUUUCUUACAGUCGACUUUAGACAUAAUGACCUUCAUGAAGUUUUCAUAAACAUUAUCAAUAGCGUAAUAAAUCCCCCAAUACAAUGGCUGGUGCACAGCAGGCAUUCAAGAAUUGUUACCUAUAAAUAGGAAAUCAAGUAGGUGAGAGAACAGACCAAUUCUGUCACAGCAGAGGGCUGGGAAAGAUAUCUGCUCCACCUCUUCAGGGCAGGAUGUAACUGGGCAGUCUAGGGUAAGAGGGAUGAGAAGAAAUGGGGAUGCUUUUGCUCCCCAGUGCAGGUGGACCUGCCAAUACCUAGAAUGAAAUGAUUCCUUGCUUUGAACCAAACAUGCCAAUACUACCCUCUCUGACACCCUCUCAGAUGUGCCCUCUCCUUGGUCCUUAGGAUCUCCUGUAAGCACUCAUCUUCAUCAGGGGAGGUGGGGAUUCCAAUGGCAUUGAGUACACACUUGAUUCAGAGCCUUCAUGCAGCUGAAACUGUGAUCAGAGAACAAACAACAUGAAUCACCAUGUUCUCAAAGAUGAUUUAUUGGCUAUCCUCACUCAUGGGAAAAAGAAAAACGUAAAUGAAAUCAAAACAAAACAAGAUGAAAAUUGAUACAAA
Molecule: long non-coding RNA, 2508 nt
Filed under: Homo sapiens (human)
Lineage: Eukaryota; Metazoa; Chordata; Mammalia; Primates; Hominidae
Description: HSALNT0066916
Source: RNAcentral